RNAcentral lists this long non-coding RNA (597 nucleotides) under Sus scrofa (pig). Its description in RNAcentral is "lncRNA (ENSSSCG00070001338.1)". Lineage: Eukaryota; Metazoa; Chordata; Mammalia; Artiodactyla; Suidae. The record is from RNAcentral.
CCAGAAGGGCCUGGCUGCACAGGAACAGAGCCAAGCCUGUUUUCCAACAAUUAACUUUUCUCAACCACAGCCAUUCUCUGAGGCAAAAUCAAAGUCAGAGUGGCUUCCUUCCUCCCCAUACCUGCCCUACUCUAAAGGGUGAAAACACAGCUCAAGUGGGCACCCCUGGGAAAGCAAAUCUGAAAUGAUCAAGUCACCAGGAAUUGGACUGAGAACCGACUAUACAUGCGCCAUUUCCCAUGACUCCUCCAAAAGCCUUCGAAGAGAACUGAAACUACUAACCCAAGAUCACAGACAUAUUCUCACUAGACCCGGAAGGAUGAAUGACACAAAUCUAUGACCUGGAGCAGGGUCCAGCCUGGCCCAAACAAGAUCAGUAGAAUGAUACUGGAUGUCACACAAGCAUGUGAGUAAGAAAAAAUGAUAGUGAUUUAAGACACUGAGCUUUGGAGUGAUUUGUUAUAAAGCAUUUUAUGGGAUAAUGGACUAAUAGAAGCUUUAAUUUUUCGUUGUUGUUCAAAGACUUCUUUGAGAAUAUGAUGAAAGCUGUGGACUUUCUUCCUAAUAAAAGCAUAUGCACAAAUUUAAAAUUUUGCA